UUCAAACUUCAAAAGAGGAGCGUCUCAGUUGAGGAUCAACCAUACCAUAUCCCUCACAAGAGGUCGGAAACCAUCAAAUUCCAAACGGUUGUCCCUCACCCACAGAGGCACGAGCCGGUCACAACUUUCAAAUCAAACGGAUAGAUACAUAAUUCGUUUCAAAAUAAGAAACAAGAAGAAACAAAAACAAAGAAAAAGAAAGCCCGCUAAGUCGAAAGCUCAAAAACGAGUGACUUAGGCAAAAAAUUAGGGCAUCCCUGUGGAUUGUAAAUAUGAACCAAUCCAGCAAAAAUAGGGAAAUGAAAAAACAAAUUUGCAAAAGAGGAAUCAAAAGAAAAC
Molecule: long non-coding RNA, 339 nt
Filed under: Lathyrus oleraceus (garden pea)
Lineage: Eukaryota; Viridiplantae; Streptophyta; Magnoliopsida; Fabales; Fabaceae
Description: Pisum sativum (pea) long non-coding RNA (PSAT_LNC011704)
Source: RNAcentral